AAAGAAGCAGAGGGGGCUUAGUGGUGGGGUGACUGCGUACCUUUUGUAUAAUGGGUCAGCGACUUAUAUUCUGUAGCAAGGUUAACCGAAUAGGGGAGCCGGAGGGAAACCGAGUCUUAACCGGGCGUUAAGUUGCAGGGUAUAGACCCGAAACCCGGUGAUCUAGCCAUGGGCAGGUUGAAGGUUGGGUAACACUAACUGGAGGACCGAACCGACUAAUGUUGAAAAAUUAGCGGAUGACCUGUGGCUGGGGGUGAAAGGCCAAUCAAACCGGGAGAUAGCUGGUUCUCCCCGAAAGCUAUUUAGGUAGCGCCUCGUGAAUUCAUCUCCGGGGGUAGAGCACUGUUUCGGCUAGGGGGCCAUCCCGGCUUACCAACCCGAUGCAAACUGCGAAUACCGGAGAAUGUUAUCACGGGAGACACACGGCGGGUGCUAACGUCCGUCGUGAAGAGGGAAACAACCCAGACCGCCAGCUAAGGUCCCAAAGUCAUGGUUAAGUGGGAAACGAUGUGGGAAGGCCCAGACAGCCAGGAUGUUGGCUUAGAAGCAGCCAUCAUUUAAAGAAAGCGUAAUAGCUCACUGGUCGAGUCGGCCUGCGCGGAAGAUGUAACGGGGCUAAACCAUGCACCGAAGCUGCGGCAGCGACGCUGAUGCGUUGUUGGGUAGGGGAGCGUUCUGUAAGCCUGCGAAGGUGGCCUGUGAGGGUUGCUGGAGGUAUCAGAAGUGCGAAUGCUGACAUAAGUAACGAUAAAGCGGGUGAAAAGCCCGCUCGCCGGAAGACCAAGGGUUCCUGUCCAACGUUAAUCGGGGCAGGGUGAGUCGACCCCUAAGGCGAGGCCGAAAGGCGUAGUCGAUGGGAAACGGGUUAAUAUUCCCGUACUUGGUGUUACUGCGAAGGGGGGACGGAGAAGGCUAUGUUGGCCGGGCGACGGUUGUCCCGGUUUAAGCGUGUAGGUGUGUGUUCCAGGUAAAUCCGGUUCACUUUAACACUGAGGCGUGAUGACGAGGCACUACGGUGCUGAAGCAACAAAUGCCCUGCUUCCAGGAAAAGCCUCUAAGCAUCAGGUAACAUCAAAUCGUACCCCAAACCGACACAGGUGGUCAGGUAGAGAAUACCAAGGCGCUUGAGAGAACUCGGGUGAAGGAACUAGGCAAAAUGGUGCCGUAACUUCGGGAGAAGGCACGCUGACACGUAGGUGAAGUGAUUUACUCAUGGAGCUGAAGUCAGUCGAAGAUACCAGCUGGCUGCAACUGUUUAUUAAAAACACAGCACUGUGCAAACACGAAAGUGGACGUAUACGGUGUGACGCCUGCCCGGUGCCGGAAGGUUAAUUGAUGGGGUCAGCGCAAGCGAAGCUCCUGAUCGAAGCCCCGGUAAACGGCGGCCGUAACUAUAACGGUCCUAAGGUAGCGAAAUUCCUUGUCGGGUAAGUUCCGACCUGCACGAAUGGCGUAAUGAUGGCCAGGCUGUCUCCACCCGAGACUCAGUGAAAUUGAACUCGCUGUGAAGAUGCAGUGUACCCGCGGCAAGACGGAAAGACCCCGUGAACCUUUACUAUAGCUUGACACUGAACAUUGAGCCUUGAUGUGUAGGAUAGGUGGGAGGCUUUGAAGUGUGGACGCCAGUCUGCAUGGAGCCGGCCUUGAAAUACCACCCUUUAAUGUUUGAUGUUCUAACGUGGACCCGUGAUCCGGGUUGCGGACAGUGUCUGGUGGGUAGUUUGACUGGGGCGGUCUCCUCCUAAAGAGUAACGGAGGAGCACGAAGGUUGGCUAAUCCUGGUCGGACAUCAGGAGGUUAGUGCAAUGGCAUAAGCCAGCUUGACUGCGAGCGUGACGGCGCGAGCAGGUGCGAAAGCAGGUCAUAGUGAUCCGGUGGUUCUGAAUGGAAGGGCCAUCGCUCAACGGAUAAAAGGUACUCCGGGGAUAACAGGCUGAUACCGCCCAAGAGUUCAUAUCGACGGCGGUGUUUGGCACCUCGAUGUCGGCUCAUCACAUCCUGGGGCUGAAGUAGGUCCCAAGGGUAUGGCUGUUCGCCAUUUAAAGUGGUACGCGAGCUGGGUUUAGAACGUCGUGAGACAGUUCGGUCCCUAUCUGCCGUGGGCGCUGGAGAACUGAGGGGGGCUGCUCCUAGUACGAGAGGACCGGAGUGGACGCAUCACUGGUGUUCGGGUUGUCAUGCCAAUGGCACUGCCCGGUAGCUAAAUGCGGAAGAGAUAAGUGCUGAAAGCAUCUAAGCACGAAACUUGCCCCGAGAUGAGUUCUCCCUGAGACUUAGAGUCUCCUGAAGGAACGUUGAAGACGACGACGUUGAUAGGCCGGGUGUGUAAGCGCAGCGAUGCGUUGAGCUAACCGGUACUAAUGAACCGUGAGGCUUAACCUUACA
Molecule: ribosomal RNA, 2385 nt
Filed under: Salmonella enterica
Lineage: Bacteria; Pseudomonadati; Pseudomonadota; Gammaproteobacteria; Enterobacterales; Enterobacteriaceae
Description: partial 23S ribosomal RNA
Rfam family: Bacterial large subunit ribosomal RNA
Source: RNAcentral